CCGUUGCCGGCGACCGGCGCACGGGUGAGUAACACGUAUGCAACCUGCCCGUGGCAGGGGGGAGUAAGCGGGGGAAACCCCGUCUAAUACCGCGUAACGCGGCCUUGGGGCAUCCCAAGGCCGCCAAAGGGAGCAAUCCCGGCCACGGAUGGGCAUGCGGCGCAUUAGCUAGUCGGCGGGGUAACGGCCCACCGAGGCGACGAUGCGUAGGGGUUCUGAGAGGAAGGCCCCCCACACUGGUACUGAGACACGGUCCAAACUCCUACGGGAGGCAGCAG
RNAcentral lists this ribosomal RNA (278 nucleotides) under uncultured bacterium. RNAcentral's name for it is "partial 16S ribosomal RNA". It matches the Rfam family "Bacterial small subunit ribosomal RNA", at positions 82 to 354 of the family's 1533-position model. The record is from RNAcentral.